AAGGAAUGGCACCACAACCUCAAAGCAAAUAUCUGAUGUUGCAGUGAGUGGGGUUGGCACCAGUGUUGACAGAAUCAGACCAUGUGAUCAAUCAGAGCACAGCGGUGAAAAUGAGGACCGACGGCUACCCAUCAGUUCCUGUGCCAUCUCUACCUUUGCUCCCCUCCUCUGUUCCUCCUCCAUGGGCUGUGCACCUCAUCAGUAUACCAGAUCAGACAGAGGCUAUGGAAAGGUCAUAGCUCACAGGUGGGUCCCUAGCAGCCUCUCCCGCUGUCCUCCAUAGAAUCAGGCUCUGCAUCCAGGUUAUGGGGGCUACAGAGCAGCCUUGCUUCCCAGUAGGCUCCCCGAAGCCACAAGCCCAUGUCUGGUCUCCCAGCAUGCGGGAUCCAUAAUGUCAGACAUCUCCAUAUCUCCAGUAAUCACCAGAUCAACUUGGGACCAUGUGCUAGGCUGUGAUUAGCGACAGUAACUUACCAGUCCUGUUCAGACUUCGCACAGGAGAACAAUGAGAGUUGACGUCUCCAUCUGCUGACAUGAAUUACUGCCGUCGCCUUCCUUCACUCCCCUCACUGAGAGAGAUUCACAAGGAAGGGAAGAAGAGCUUACUCACUUGCACCCUAAGUCAGAAAGCAGGGGGCUCAAGCUGUGCCUCUUCACUGUCCCAUCUCAGUUGAUCUUUGGGUGAGCAUAUGGCCUGAGAGUCGAGAAAGUGCAGCAUCUCGGCAGGCUGGAUUAGGGAUGGAGUAACAGGCUGCAAGGGAGUGGUGAUGGGCACUUUGGCUGGAGCUUGCCAUAAUCUACCCAGCAAGGCAGAGCACAGAUGCCGGGCCAGGCAGGGAGGCUCACUCCUCGUUAAGGGUCCAUUACAGAAAAGUCCUCGUUAAAGAAACACCACUGCGAGAAGAGACCAUCCAAUAGAUGAGCAAAAACGGAGAGGGGAACAUUUGAUUACAUAAUUAAUUAAUUGCCCCACAAUUUUCAGUGUGAUCAUGUCUCCAUUUCCUUCAUUAAAGAUACAGCAACCAGGGUGGGAGGACCAGCUUAAAUCCGAGCUCAAAACCAGUUUUUUUAUUCUGUUGCAAACUCUUUCACAUCCAUAGUCUCUUUCCACCUUUUGUUUAACUAAAUUUUGCCUACCUUUUCCAUCCAUGCUUCCUGACAGGCUUAUUUGAGAAAAUGCUUUUGGUUAGCAAAGCAAGGAGAUGUGGUGAGGUAAGGCAGGGAGAUGGGCCUGAGGAAUUCUGCUCAAUUGAGCACUGGGGAGGAUGUUAACAUGGGGCCCUGGCACCUCAGCCAAAAUGAGUUAGCCUUACUUGAUGUUUCAGUGUUGAUUAAGAGACAGGGAUGGGAAUAGGUUUCUGCUCUGUUUAGUAAGAGAACAGCAUGUGCAGGUUUAGACAAGGCAAAGUGAUGACGGUGUUGACUAGCGUCACUCUGUACACUGCAAAAAAUGUAUUCCCUAACAAGUGAUUCAUCAC
This is a long non-coding RNA of Siniperca chuatsi (mandarin fish), 1478 nucleotides long. RefSeq lists it as uncharacterized. NCBI's taxonomy places the organism in Eukaryota, Metazoa, Chordata, Actinopteri, Centrarchiformes, Sinipercidae. The transcript has 3 exons. The record is from RefSeq and is a predicted model, not a curated record.